This 504-nucleotide long non-coding RNA is filed under the name Rattus norvegicus (Norway rat). RNAcentral describes it as "long non-coding RNA NONRATT009105". Lineage: Eukaryota; Metazoa; Chordata; Mammalia; Rodentia; Muridae. The record is from RNAcentral.
UUAGAAAUACUUUUCCUACUAUCUUAGACGUAUUGUACACGGCACAGUGAACACUAGCAUAUAAACCUCACUAACCAGGAUUAUCAGAGACUACUGUCUUUACACCCCAAAGGAGACCAAUGACAAACAUCUUCAGAAAAGCAUCUUAGGUAACAAGCACACAGUCAGAUGCCAGGCCCCCUGUACUGCCCUCAGGAGCCCUGUGGCCUUCUUCAGGUCCCCUCAUCUAACUGUCCCUUGUUCUGUCACUUGCAGAAGCCAGCUUCUCUUGUGCCUGCCUAAGUUAGCACCUUUCCCACUGAGAGCAGAGACUCACAUCCAAGUCCGCUUUCCACUGCUACAGAACCUCUCACAAUUCACCACACCUCACUUGGUGUUGCCUUUCAUUUCCAGGGCACAGACUUAGAUAUUUAAAUUCUCGUCUCCAUUGGCAAGAAGCAAUCAUUUCUGUAGCAAGUGGUUGCUUCCACAGAAGCACUAAUAAAAGCCUUGCCUUCUGACAAA